Molecule: long non-coding RNA, 2277 nt
Filed under: Canis lupus familiaris (dog)
Lineage: Eukaryota; Metazoa; Chordata; Mammalia; Carnivora; Canidae
Description: lncRNA (ENSCAFG00845018143.1)
Source: RNAcentral
GUGUUCCGGGAUCUCUGAAACCUUGCAUUAUGAUGAGCUGCUUUAGUGGUGAUAAUAUCUUAAACUAGUAUUCAAUUUACUUUCCCUUCCUUCUAAUUCUUGUUGCCCUGGGAGUCUCCCCCAUUGAGGCUAAGGAUUCCAUUACUUCAGGGGGAGGACCGAAUAUGGUCUAGGACAAAGAAGACGUUGUUCAGCUUUUGACUUUCAAAACAGGCCCUCGAAGCAUGUUUCAGAGACCAGAGUUAGCCCAGGCCUUCACUCAAAAGAGGCAGGCUUUGUUAGAGGACAAAUGAUCGUGGAUUCCAAGGAGGCAGAUCUCAGAAGGCCCGGGAAGGCCCGGCAUAUAUUGUACAGUGAGCCAGGCAGGAAGGAGGCUGCGGGAAGGAAGAAAUGCCUCCCUGGGAUGGAGCAUGGAGCCCGUAGAGAUUAGAGGAGACUAGAGAUAAAUGAAUGGGUGGCUGACAUUCCCCCGCUCCAGGAGGGUGCAGGGGAAUCUGCCUCCGUCUGGAACCCUGGGAGGAAGCCACCCGUGGUGUGUGCCCUGCAGUGGGGCACGUUUAGGCGGGAACAAGCCCUGACAUGCUGUCUGCACCAGUUCCCCAAAGCCUACAUGUGGCACAGGAGGGAUGCCAAGGGCCUGCAGGCCCCUGCGGGCACCUGUGGAGGUGCAGAGGGAGCUGGGUGGGAGAGGCUUGGAGGCAGAGCGAAGGCGGCACCGAGUGAAGCAUGGACGCUAGUUGGGUUCCAUCUACCAGUCACAGCAGCAGAACCAGACCAACACCCAAAGACAAAGGGAAGAAACAUCCAACGGAGGCCAGGGAGGGCACGGAGGGCAGUGCCCGGACUAGGUCGGCCCCUAUCCUGUGGUGGUCUGUCGUCUGACUCUGGAGCAGGGGUUGGGGGGGAGAAGGGCAAGGAAGGGAAAGGAGCACAGCCCGGAGACACAGGUUGAGGUAGAUUUAAUUUGACUAAUUGCCUUGAAGCAACUAGAAUUUUUAAAUCUUUCUGAAAGUGGCAAGAUUGUCUUUUCUGCCACAAUCAGAAAUGCAGUGGUCCUGAUCAAAUUGAAUUUUAACUGUGAGGAAAUGGAGUCACAUUCUUUAAAAAUUUAUUUAUGUACGUAAGUCAGCUCUAUGUCCAUGGGGUGGGACUCCGGACCCUGAGAUCCAGAGUCCCACGCUCCACCGACCGAGCCCACCAGGUGUCCCAGAAAUAACAUUUUUUUUUUGCCUGUAGCUGAGCAGUAGGUGUAAAUCCCAAUCCUGCCGCACCACACGUUGAUGCUGAUGAUGACGACGAUGGCAGCACUUUCGCUUGCUUGUAUUCCUACAACACACUUGUCCCUUUGAGUCCGCCAUGCCUUAGUGUAACGGUAUCAGGUUCCUUUCGGGCAAGAAGUGGGAAGAUGUGCCCUCUCAAGGAGCAGAGUUGUGUACCAGAUAUCCCAAAGCAAAGCGGGGUUUUCGGCUUCCCCUUGUUGAGCUUGUGGCAGUUCUUCCGAGUGCCCUGCAAGGAAGGACUUCAGUUGCCAUGGAGCCUCAGGUCAGUGGAAGGUACUAGAAUUUCAGGCCUUUCUUUAAUGAGUUUACUGUCAUGCUGGAGACUAGACAAACAAUUUUUACUGGGUACGAUCCUUCAGUUCCAUAGUUUAAAGGUUACAGUCUGUGAGGGGAGAAGCUCUUCAUUUUUAUUCAAGUCCUCAUGUGCUAAAUAAAGAAUGAGUUUAUGAAGGGAUUCAUUUUCAAGUAUAAUUCAUAAGUAGUUACCAGAACACUAAAUGAGAGAGGGGGAAACAAACCAGUUAGCUCUUUUUAAUUAUGUUUCAUCUCUCUUUGACGUUCAUACAAGGAUGAUGCUGCAUUUAAGAUGUUUUAAAACCUGCUGUUUCUUGAAAUGCCUAGUAAUUUGGGAAGGGAAUUCUUUAGUCUUUUUUUUUUUUUUUUUUGGGUCUUGCUUUAAAAAGUGUGGGUUUGGCGGUAUGGUAAGGAUACUGCUUAUGUAUUUUUCUACUAGAGAAUUACUGUGACACUUUGAGCAAAUCUUCUCAAAACAUAAACGCAUCUCAUAUUUCCCUUCAUCUGUCAGUGGGAGCCAAGAGAGCUAGAGAUGUGAGAUCAUAACAUUAUGGAGAGGAGUCACUGAAGUAAUGUUAUAGAAUUUUUAAAAAGUUGAUUUAUUAAGUGACAUCAUUUCAAUAAUAUUUUGGACCUUGGAAACAGUUCUAUUCAAAAUCUCAAAAACAAAAUGUCAAAAAAAUUAAAAACAUGUCCAUAUACA